This 429-nucleotide ribosomal RNA is filed under the name Gemmatimonadota bacterium. RNAcentral's name for it is "Gemmatimonadetes bacterium partial 16S ribosomal RNA". It matches the Rfam family "Bacterial small subunit ribosomal RNA", at positions 355 to 776 of the family's 1533-position model. Lineage: Bacteria; Pseudomonadati; Gemmatimonadota. The record is from RNAcentral.
UAGGGAAUCUUCGGCAAUGGACGAAAGUCUGACCGAGCAACGCCGCGUGAGUGAAGAAGGUUUUCGGAUCGUAAAACUCUGUUGUUAGAGAAGAACAAGGACGUUAGUAACUGAACGUCCCCUGACGGUAUCUAACCAGAAAGCCACGGCUAACUACGUGCCAGCAGCCGCGGUAAUACGUAGGUGGCAAGCGUUGUCCGGAUUUAUUGGGCGUAAAGCGAGCGCAGGCGGUUUCUUAAGUCUGAUGUGAAAGCCCCCGGCUCAACCGGGGAGGGUCAUUGGAAACUGGGAGACUUGAGUGCAGAAAAGGAGAGUGGAAUUCCAUGUGUAGCGGUGAAAUGCGUAGAUAUAUGGAGGAACACCAGUGGCGAAGGCGGCUCUCUGGUCUGUAACUGACGCUGAGGCUCGAAAGCGUGGGGAGCAAACAGG